GGUAGUUCUCGGGUGACGCACCCUGGAAUCGGGCUCCCUCCUCUCUAGUUCUGGGUGCAUCACCCAAGAACCACA
This is a non-coding RNA of Myotis davidii, 75 nucleotides long. The record is from Rfam. NCBI's taxonomy places the organism in Eukaryota, Metazoa, Chordata, Mammalia, Chiroptera, Vespertilionidae.